Molecule: ribosomal RNA, 1561 nt
Filed under: metagenome
Description: bacterial LSU rRNA
Rfam family: Bacterial large subunit ribosomal RNA
Source: RNAcentral
AUAUCUAAGGUUUCCAGAGUAAAGCUGAUCUGCUCUGGGUAAGUCGGGGCCUAAGGCGAGGUCGAAAGACGUAGUCGAUGGAUAACAGGUUGAAAUUCCUGUACUAUCCUGUAACAGAACUGUGGGGACACAGGCAGAGAGCGUGAGCCGGGAAUGUAAAGACCGGUACAAGCGAGGUAGGAGAAGAGUUGGCAAAUCCGCUCUUCAAUCUGAAGACGUGAUGUGGACUGAAAAUAAGUAGGGAAGCACGUGAGCUGACUGUCAAGAAAAGCCGCUAUUGUUUGCAGGAUACCCGUACCGUAAACCGACACAGGUGGAUGAGGAGAGAAUCCUAAGGCCGGCGGGAGAAGCAUUGUUAAGGAACUCGGCAAAAUGACUCCGUAACUUCGGGAGAAGGAGUGCCAGUAAGAUGGCCGCAGAGAAUUGGCCCAAGCAACUGUUUAGCAAAAACACAGGUCUAUGCAAAACCGAAAGGUGAGGUAUAUGGGCUGACGCCUGCCCGGUGCUGGAAGGUUAAGGGGAGAGGUUAGCGCAAGCGAAGCUUUGAACUUAAGCCCCAGUAAACGGCGGCCGUAACAAUAACGGUCCUAAGGUAGCGAAAUUCCUUGUCGGGUAAGUUCCGACCCGCACGAAAGGCGUAAUGAUUUGGGCACUGUCUCAACAAUGCACCCGGUGAAAUUGAAAUACCAGUGAAGAUGCUGCUUACCUGCGCCAGGACGGAAAGACCCCAUGGAGCUUUACUCCAGCUUGAUACUGGGAUUCGGUAUUGCAUGUACAGGAUAGGUGGGAGGCUAGGAAAUGGUAACGCCAGUUGCCAUGGAGCCAAUGUUGGGAUACCACCCUUGCAGUACUGGGUUUCUAACCAGCAGCCGUGAUCCGGCUGGGGGACAAUGUCAGGUGGGGAGUUUGACUGGGGCGGUCGCCUCCGAAAGGGUAUCGGAGGCGCUCAAAGGUUCCCUCAGAAUGGUUGGAAACCAUUCGAAGAGUGCAAAGGCAGAAGGGAGCUUGACUGCGACACCGACGGGUGGAGCAGGUACGAAAGUAGGACUUAGUGAUCCGGUGGUAUAAAGUGGGAUUGCCAUCGCUCAACGGAUAAAAGCUACCCUGGGGAUAACAGGCUUAUCACUCCCAAGAGUUCACAUCGACGGAGUGGUUUGGCACCUUGAUGUCGGCUCAUCGCAUCCUGGGGCUGAAGUAGGUCCCAAGGGUUGGGCUGUUCGCCCAUUAAAGCGGUACGCGAGCUGGGUUCAGAACGUCGUGAGACAGUUCGGUCCCUAUCCGGCGUAGGCGUAAGAUAUUUGAGAGGAGCUGUCCUUAGUACGAGAGGACCGGGAUGGACUGGCCGCUGGUGUAUCUGUUGUCUUACCAAAGGCAUAGCAGAGUAGCCAAGCCGGGAAGGGAUAAACGCUGAAGGCAUCUAAGCGUGAAGCCCCCCUCAAGAUGAGAUAUCUCAUAACGUCAAGUUAGUAAGACCCCUUGAAGACGACGAGGUAGAUAGGGCAGAGGUGGAAGUGUGGUAACACAUGGAGCUGACUGUUACUAAUAGGUCGAGGGCAUAACC